Labrus bergylta (ballan wrasse) is the source of this 2015-nucleotide non-coding RNA. Lineage: Eukaryota; Metazoa; Chordata; Actinopteri; Labriformes; Labridae. The record is from RefSeq and is a predicted model, not a curated record.
UCAAACCUUCUCUGUGUGAAGUUUUCUGUGCUCUAGUGUAUUUUGGUUUCUUCCUGAGUUUGGACUUUUACGUUGGACCUUGUUACUUUUUAGACUUAAACAAGGUGUGAUAGAGAGAUGAAGAGACCAACCACAACACCUGAGGUGUCGUGUUGAUGAACAUGACGAUCUUUGUACCUGCUGGAGGUGCCAAGCUGGUGAAAACAGAAAGUGACAUUUUCUUUGGAGACAUCUUAUCAUUUUAACGCUGACUAUUAAAGAAAAUCCUUAAAGAAGGAGACUCAAACAAGAAAAAACUCUCAGAGAGGGAGGACGGGUCAUCAAAUAUCUAUCAACACACCUGGUGUGACAGCAGAGAAGACAGGCAAAAGCCCCAAAACAAAUCUAACAAACAGCUCAUGAGGAUCUCCACAUCCACUCAGCACCACCCUGGGCAGGUCCAGAGAAAGAGAGGCCGCACCCUCAAGGAGUUUGGUCCCAGAACCAGUGCUGUGCCUGGAUGUAAGCCCAAUGGUAGUUAGGGUUCAUGGACCAAACAAAGAACAAGGCCUUCUUGAAGUCUCUGGGCAGAGAGUGACAUAUGUUACAGGUGUUGGUGCUAGCGGAUUCCUCACACUACAGGGGCGGGUGGAAAUCAUCACAAAUCUAGUGGGAGCAGGAGUGAGCAGGGUUAGGAAAACAGUCACAUGCAGGGCUACAUUGAGGUCCUGCAUGGUGUCUGUAAAAUAGCCGACCGGGUUGAUAGUGAUUUGCAUAUUUAUUAAGAGGGCCCGGAAGAUGUGCUCUAACUUCCUGAGUAUCUGUCUUCUAAUCCUCCUGGAAAAUGUCAUUCCAGGCUGCUAGAAAGAAAGUUCCCAAAGAUCCCACAGAUCGAUGAACCUCACGAGAAGCGUUCUAAAUUACUUCCUGGUUGUGGAACAGUGGACUUCUUUAAGCUUGCUUUUGUGGAUCAUCCAUCCAGCCUACAUGUGUUUUUUGGGCCUGAACAAGUUGUACAUUUUGGUCUCCCAUGGGGUUCCAUUGGGGAAUACUGUGGGACAUUCCUACAAGCCAUCCCAUUCUUACAUAAGCUAAAUGAGAGAUGUGUCCACAUCCUUGGUAAGUCAAACAGUCAGUGUUGACCUCUAUCAGGUCUGUCCCUUGUCACAAUUCCAAUUAUGAUUUUAAUUGAUAGGCUCUUCAGACUGUCUAGUUUGAGGAGUGUGAAGUGGUUCGAAUGAAAGUCCCUUUGUCAAAGAUGAUUCCACUCUAAUAUUUAGCUGGUAUAGCAGGUUGAGUGAAAUGCUAAUGCCAAGAAUAUUAUCAGCCAGUGGAGGAAAAAGAGCAUCAACCUAUGGGUUUGAUUCCAUACAAUGAUUCUGACUGUUUACUGAGGGCUUGUUUCUUCACUACUGUCCAACCUUUGCCAAAAAUAAUGAGGGCACAGCAGGACAGGCAGGUAGCUCAGCACGGCUGUGGAUCAGUGAGAGAGUCAGUCAUCUCUUAACCAGAAGCUUGGGGGUUUGAACCCCAAGUUGCUCCUGCAGAGAAUGUAUCUGAAGUUUGUCACUAUUGUUCUAUAGACUCAGUAGACCCAUUUUUAUUAGGCUGCAUGAAUGAGUGGAUGUAAAAUACGGCAGCAUAGAAACUGUGUCUGACAUAUUUUGAAAUGUCCCGUGUGGGGAAUGCAAUUGGCGAUAGGCAUGUGUUCCCCAGCACCACAACAUGUUAACCCUGACAGCCCUAUCGACUCAACCGAACGCUUUUAACUCUCUGUGAUUGUCUAAUGGAUUCAACAAAAUACAGUUUCUUUAUAAAUUGGAUGUGUUCAGCAAUUUUAAGCAGCAAAAGACCAGACUGUAUUUUUAAAUCCUUUUGAAUAAAACACAACCAAAGUAACUGCAAACGUAAUGGAAGGAUGGGGAAAUGUUUCAGUACGUUGAUGUCAUGAAAUCACACAGUGAAACUUGUUGUUUCCCAUUGGUUUAGAAGUCUUGGCAACAUCAUGCUCCAAUCAAUACUCACUCUUAUUUCUA